GAGUGGCGGACGGGUGAGUAACACGUAAGUAUUCUGCCCCUAAGUAAGGGAUAACCCUGAGAAAUCGGAGCUAAUACCUUAUGUGGUGGUGGAGGUAAAGCUUCAUCACUAAAGCCGCAAGGCGCUUGGGGAGGAGCUUGUGUCCGAUUAGCUAGUUGGUAGGGUAAUGGCUUACCAAGGCGAUGAUCGGUAGCUGGUCUGAGAGGAUGGUCAGCCACACUGGGACUGAGAUACGGCCCAGACACCUACGGGAGGCAGCAGCAAGGAAUAUUGGGCAAUGGGCGAAAGCCUGACCCAGCGACGCCGUGUGGGGGAUGAAUGCCUUCGGGUUGUAAACCCCUUUUCUCAGGGAAGAAUAAUGACGGUACCUGAGGAAUAAGUCUCGGCUAACUACGUGCCAGCAGCCGCGGUAAGACGUAGGAGGCAAGCGUUAUCCGGAUUUACUGGGCGUAAAGGGGGUGUAGGCGGCUUUUCAAGUCGGAUGUGAAAUCUCCCUGCUUAACGGGGAGGGGUCAUUCGAUACUGUUAAGCUUGAGGACAGCAGAGGGAGGUGGAAUUCCCGGUGUAGUGGUGAAAUGCGUAGAUAUCGGGAGGAACACCAGUGGCGAAGGCAGCCUCCUGGGCUGUUCCUGACGCUGAGGCCCGAAAGCGCGGGGAGCGAACAGGAUUAGAUACCCUGGUAGUCCGCGCAGUAAACGAUGGACACUAGGUAUAGUGAGUAUCGACCCUCUCUGUGCCGAAGCUAACGCG
RNAcentral lists this ribosomal RNA (750 nucleotides) under uncultured bacterium. RNAcentral's name for it is "bacterial SSU rRNA". It matches the Rfam family "Bacterial small subunit ribosomal RNA", at positions 93 to 859 of the family's 1533-position model. The record is from RNAcentral.